This 429-nucleotide ribosomal RNA is filed under the name uncultured bacterium. RNAcentral describes it as "bacterial SSU rRNA". It matches the Rfam family "Bacterial small subunit ribosomal RNA", at positions 355 to 774 of the family's 1533-position model. The record is from RNAcentral.
UCGAGAGGCUUCCACAAUGGGGGAAACCCUGAUGGAGCGACGCCGCGUGGGUGAAGACGGCCUUCGGGUUGUAAAGCCCUUUCGGCAGGGAAGAAUAGGUGCGGGGUGAAUAAUCCUGCGCCUGAGACUGUACCUGCAUAAGAAGCUCCGGCUAACUCCGUGCCAGCAGCCGCGGUAAUACGGGGGGAGCAAGCGUUGUUCGGAAUUACUGGGCGUAAAGGGCGUCUAGGCGGGCCGGUAAGUCAGAUGUGAAAUCCCUCGGCUUAACCGUGGACUUGCAUUUGAUACUGUCGGUCUUGAGUUCGAGAGAGGGGAGCGGAAUUCCUGGUGUAGCGGUGGAAUGCGUAGAUAUCAGGAAGAACACCGGUGGCGAAGGCGGCUGCCUGGCUCGUAACUGACGCUAAAGCGCGAAAGUGUGGGGAGCGAACA